Molecule: ribosomal RNA, 324 nt
Filed under: uncultured eukaryote
Lineage: Eukaryota
Description: partial 18S ribosomal RNA
Rfam family: Eukaryotic small subunit ribosomal RNA
Source: RNAcentral
CCCUUAGAUGUUCUGGGCCGCACGCGCGCUACACUGAUGCAUUCAACGAGUUUCUUCCUGGUCCGAGAGGAAUGGGUAACCUUUUGAAAGUGCAUCGUGAUAGGGAUAGACUAUUGCAAUUAUUGGUCUUCAACGAGGAAUUCCUAGUAGACGUAGUUCAUCAGACUGCAUCGAUUACGUCCCUGCACUUUGUACACACCACCCGUCGCUCCUACCGAUUGAAUGCUCAGGUGAGCCAUUCGGACUUUCAUCAUGCUGGUUUCCAGUUUUGAUGAAGGAAAGUCUUGCGAACCUUAUCAUUUAGAGGAAGGAGAAGUCGUAACA